Molecule: ribosomal RNA, 460 nt
Filed under: Encarsia hispida
Lineage: Eukaryota; Metazoa; Arthropoda; Insecta; Hymenoptera; Aphelinidae
Description: eukaryotic LSU rRNA
Source: RNAcentral
CCUGAGAAACCCAAAAGAUCGAAUGGGGAGAUUCAUCGUCAACCUCUUUGGCUUACGUGUGGACGCGAUGUCGCUCGGCUUCGGCUGGGCGGCACGCGUUCGCUGCGGCAUGUCCGGAGAGGUCGGCGUGCACUUCUCCCCUAGUAGGACGUCGCGACCCGUUGGGUGCUUGUCUACGGUCCGGUAGGUCGACUGGCGAGUCUCGCGCAAGCUUGAUCUCGUCAGACCUCUGGUUUCCCGAUUGGCUGCCCGACGGUAUUGAACGAUAAUUAACAAGGUAUUGGGCCGCACCAAGUGCGUUCAGGCCCGUCGUCAGGCUCGCCUCGCUCGGAUUUACGAACCUAAGUUUCGUUGUCGGGCGCUUGGCGUGGCUGUUGGGCGGCGGUGUCCUCGGACUGGCUCUUAAUAUUCGAACGGAUAUACCUGUCGGCGACGCUACUGCUUUGGGUACUUUCAGGAC